GGGGCUGUAGCUCAGCUGGGAGAGCGUCCGCCUCAGGCGGAAGGUCAGGGGUUCAACUCAUCAUGUCACA
This 70-nucleotide transfer RNA is filed under the name Omnitrophica WOR_2 bacterium RIFCSPHIGHO2_02_FULL_50_17. RNAcentral's name for it is "tRNA-Sec". RNAcentral also lists the same sequence under 1 other name. The record is from RNAcentral. Lineage: Bacteria; Pseudomonadati; Candidatus Omnitrophota.